RNAcentral lists this ribosomal RNA (253 nucleotides) under uncultured bacterium. Its description in RNAcentral is "partial 16S ribosomal RNA". It matches the Rfam family "Bacterial small subunit ribosomal RNA", at positions 524 to 776 of the family's 1533-position model. The record is from RNAcentral.
UACGGGGGGGGCAAGCGUUGUUCGGAAUUACUGGGCGUAAAGGGUGCGUAGGCGGCUUUCUAAGUUGGAUGUGAAAACUAUGGGCUCAACCCAUAGCCUGCAUCCAAAACUGGAGAGCUUGGGUUCUGGAGGGGAAAGCGGAAUUCCUGGUGUAGCGGUGAAAUGCGCAGAUAUCAGGAGGAACACCGGUGGCGAAGGCGGUUCUCUGGGCAUUACCUGACGCUGAGGAGCGAAAGUGUGGGGAGCGAACGGG